RNAcentral lists this unclassified non-coding RNA (436 nucleotides) under uncultured Thelephoraceae. RNAcentral's name for it is "sequence contains ITS2". The stretch from base 1 to 154 matches the Rfam family "5.8S ribosomal RNA". Lineage: Eukaryota; Fungi; Basidiomycota; Agaricomycetes; Thelephorales; Thelephoraceae. The record is from RNAcentral.
AACUUUUGACAACGGAUCUCUUGGCUCUCGCAUCGAUGAAGAACGCAGCGAAAUGCGAUAAGUAAUGAGAAUUGCAGAAUUCAGUGAAUCAUCGAAUCUUUGAACGCACAUUGCGCCCUUUGGCAUUCCUUAGGGCAUGCCUGUUUGAGUAUCAUGAACACCUCAACCCUCACGGUUCCUCGUGAUGGGCUUGGACUUGGGGGCUUUGUUGGCCUGUGGUCAGCUCUCCUCAAAUAAAUCAGCUCGCCAGUGUCUGGCGGCAUCAUGGGUGUGAUAACCAUCUACGCUUGUGAUCGCCUGCGAGGUAAACCUCUGGUCUGCAGAGGUUCGCUGGAGCUUAUAGAUGUCUCUCCUCUGUGAAGACAGCUUUCUGAAGCUCGAUCUCAAAUCAUGUAGGACUACCCGCUGAACUUAAGCAAAUCAAUAAGCGGAGGCU